AUUGAACGCUGGCGGAAUGCUUUACACAUGCAAGUCGAACGGCAGCACGGACUUCGGUCUGGUGGCGAGUGGCGAACGGGUGAGUAAUGUAUCGGAACGUGCCCAGUCGUGGGGGAUAACGUAGUGAAAAUUACGCUAAUACCGCAUACGAUCUAUGGAUGGAAGCGGGGGAUCGCAAGACCUCGCGCGAUUGGAGCGGCCGAUAUCAGAUUAGGUAGUUGGUGGGGUAAAGGCCCACCAAGCAAACGAUCUGUAGCUGGUCUGCGAGGACGACCAGCCACACUGGAACUGAGCCACGGUCCAGCCUCCUACGGGAGGCAGCAGUGGGGAAUUUUGGACAAUGGGCGAAAGCCUGAUCCAGCCAUUCCGCGUGCAGGAUGAAGGCCCUCGGGUUGUAAACUGCUUUUGUACAGAACGAAAAGGUUUCUACUAAUACUAGGAGCUCAUGACGGUACUGUAAGAAUAAGCACCGGCUAACUACGUGCCAGCCGCCGCCGUAA
RNAcentral lists this ribosomal RNA (500 nucleotides) under uncultured bacterium. Its description in RNAcentral is "partial 16S ribosomal RNA". It matches the Rfam family "Bacterial small subunit ribosomal RNA", at positions 30 to 523 of the family's 1533-position model. The record is from RNAcentral.